Molecule: long non-coding RNA, 2267 nt
Filed under: Homo sapiens (human)
Lineage: Eukaryota; Metazoa; Chordata; Mammalia; Primates; Hominidae
Description: non-protein coding lnc-ARID2-11:1
Source: RNAcentral
UCUCAAAGGUCUUCCAUUACACUAGAUCACAUUUUAUUUCAUUACACUAGAUCACAUUUUGAUUACUGCAUUUUGAAAAUGUAUUCCUUAUUUAAAUUUUAAAUAAGAGAUCUGAAUUUGUACCAAGAUUUCAUGAAAAAAUUUGAUGUUGUUUAUUGCAAAUACAAUUUAAACAAGUUUUUUUUAGUGUUUGUACACAAUUUGUCAAUUUUUCAAUAUUCAAUUUUCUGUACAGGUACUUUUGGGACAAUUCUUAUAGUUACAUAAUGUGAAUUCAUCAAAAUGCAGUUAAGAAACUUACAGGAAUAUAUACACUUGAACCCAAGACCCAAACCUGACAUUAUAUACAACCUAUUUACAAAUACAUAUGGACAGACAAUAUAUGUACAUAGAUUAUCAUAAAUAUUGAAAAAUAGGUUAGCUUUAAUGGAUUAAUGUUGUUCUAUAAAUAACAUUACAGUUGUAACUGAAACAUCCACGGAAGACAGUAAUGCAAAAUGAGGUGACAAGACAGUGGUUUUAAUACUGAAGACUGCUCAUUAAUGGGAAUUCAUUGUUCAGGAACCUCAAGGUAGACAAGAUAGCUCCCAGAAAAUCAUCCAUUGGAAUUUUCCCUAGGCACUUGAUUUUGAACCUUAAAUAGCCAGAGGAUUGGAGGAGCUUCCUCACAUUAAUUUGCUGUAGAGAAAAGAAUUUUUUUUCCAUUCCUUCCUGGUUGCCACAGUAUCUUCUCCCAUACAAAAAAAAAAAAAAAAGUCUGUAGAAACAACUCUUGGUAUUCCCUGGCAGGUCUUAGAUACAAAGUCAGCAACUCUUUCCAGGAGCUCAUGCAAAUUUGCCAAUUCUUGGUCUCAACUAGAGGUGAGGUUCUGCAUUCGAAUGGAGUGCCUAAAGCCCAAUUAAAUGAAAGCAGUGCCGUAGAAUCUGUCUUCCCACUGCCUUUCUAUUUCUAGAUGGCCCCCAAUUAUUUUAUCUUCAUAGAAACAGACAAAAAUGGACCAACGGUUUCACCCAAUGUAGCACUACAAGACGUCUUCCAGUUCCAUAAGGGUCUUUAAUUACACAUGUAUCUUGUUUGUAAAUUUAGUCACAUAUAAUACAAGAAUGCGUAACAAAAACCAUGUCUCCACAUUUCUGGCCCUUGCCCCAAACAACAUUUUUAGUUCAAGGGCAAACCUUACAGCCAGAUGACCAAUUGACAAUUCCAUUAUUUGCUUCCUUCAACCACUUAAUGGAAUUAUGUAUAUUAGAUUUUAGACAUUAUGCCUGAUGAGCGAAGUACCACAUUAUUUAAUAAUAUAUUCACCAUACACUGUGACGUACGAUAAAUGUGCUCUUAAAGCCAAGUUUCAAAGUAAUUAUUUUCAUUUCUAACUGGGAUUGAAAUGGAAGGGUUGACAUGCAGUUGGACCAAAAUGACUACUAACACUCAGUUUGCACUGUUUUCCCUAGCUAACCAUUUGUUGGAUGUAAACAAGUAAUUCUACGUUGUACAAGAAUGAGAUGACAGUCCAGUGCAAAUGAGUUUUUAUAAAGCUUACUGCAUGAGAAACCCAGUGGCCUACGCAAAGAGAACUUAUAUCAUAUCAAACAUAGGUGUAACCUGUGGAUUAGACCUCUACUGUAGACAAAACAUGAACACAACUAAGCCAUACAUUGUCAAGUAAUUCACACUUCCAGUAGGUGAGCAUUUUGAAAAAGUGUACUCUCUGGACACAAUAAUUUUGGCCUAUUGCCAUCAAAUGCCCAUUUUCCACUGCUGGAAGCAAUGUCAAAAAAGGGCUGGCCCAAAAAAAGACCCAGAGCUGUCAAUACAACACUGGAGACAGAUGCAACUGAAUAAACCCUGUUUUACCCAAUUGCACUAUUUGGUACCUCAAAAUUAGUUAUUUUAUUUCCCACAGAAAUAUCUGCAUUAUCUUCCAUUCUAAUAAGUUGAAGACACAAACAUUUCAGUCUGAAUGAACCAAAUUGUUUGGGGACAGAGAAGAAAAGUGAUGAACAGAGUUCAUCUGAUUUGGUAUAGCAAUAAUCAAUCAUCUUUUAAGUAAUGGUGACGUUUAAAUGGAAAAAACUAUGCUCCUAAUUCAUGGUACAAUUUUUCAUUACAUCAUUUUCUCUAAAAAUUAUUUUGGGUAAAAAAGUAUUUGGCUUAUUAUGCCUACAAAAAGGCAAACCAUUUCAUUAUAUUAAUAUUCAUUUUUAAAUACCAAUGACAUUAUUUUAUGGAAUUUAUUGAUAACUGCUUCUGAAUAAAGUUCAAAAAA